UGUGUCUACUGUACAGCUGAUGCUGGGCUC
This 30-nucleotide non-coding RNA is filed under the name Mus musculus (house mouse). The record is from RNAcentral. Lineage: Eukaryota; Metazoa; Chordata; Mammalia; Rodentia; Muridae.